RNAcentral lists this ribosomal RNA (497 nucleotides) under uncultured bacterium. RNAcentral describes it as "partial 16S ribosomal RNA". It matches the Rfam family "Bacterial small subunit ribosomal RNA", at positions 28 to 507 of the family's 1533-position model. The record is from RNAcentral.
GAUGAACGCUGGCGGCGUGCCUAAUACAUGCAAGUCGAACGAAGAGACGGUUAGCUUGCUCCACUGACGUUAGCGGCGGACGUGAGAGGAACACAUUGAUCACCUCCCUAUGAGACUGGGAUGACUUCGUGAAACCAGUACUAAUACCGGAUAAUAUAUUGAACCUCAUGGUUCAAUAGUUACAGCCGGGUUUGCUGUCACUUAUAGAUGUCUCCUGGCCGCAUUGGCUAGUUGCUAAGAUGACGACUUCCCAAGGCAACCAUGCGUAGACGACCUGAGAGGGUGAUCGGCCACAUGAGAACUGAGACACGGACCAGACGCCUACGGGAGGCAGCAGUAGGGAACCUGACGCAAUGGGCGAAAGCUUGACGGAGCAACGGAGCGUGAGUGAUGAAGGUGCUCGGAGCGUGAAACCGUGCUAUUAGGGAAGAACAACUUUGUACGGAACUAUGGCCGUCUUGACGGUACCUAAUCAGAAAGCACCGGCUAACUACGUG